Molecule: ribosomal RNA, 108 nt
Filed under: uncultured bacterium
Lineage: Bacteria
Description: partial 16S ribosomal RNA
Rfam family: Bacterial small subunit ribosomal RNA
Source: RNAcentral
CCCGUUGUACACACCGCCCGUCACACCAUGGGAGUUGGUUUUACCUGAAGCCGGUGCGCUAACCCGCAAGGGAGGCAGCCGACCACGGUAGGGUCAGCGACUGGGGUG